RNAcentral lists this ribosomal RNA (538 nucleotides) under uncultured bacterium. RNAcentral's name for it is "bacterial SSU rRNA". It matches the Rfam family "Bacterial small subunit ribosomal RNA", at positions 387 to 919 of the family's 1533-position model. The record is from RNAcentral.
AUCAGCAUGCCGCGUGUGUGAAGAAGGCCUUCGGGUUGUAAAGCACUUUUGUCCGGAAAGAAAUCGCUCUGGCUAAUACCUGGGGUGGAUGACGGUACCGGAAGAAUAAGCACCGGCUAACUACGUGCCAGCAGCCGCGGUAAUACGUAGGGUGCGAGCGUUAAUCGGAAUUACUGGGCGUAAAGCGUGCGCAGGCGGUUUUGUAAGACAGGCGUGAAAUCCCCGGGCUCAACCUGGGAAUUGCGCUUGUGACUGCAAGGCUAGAGUGCGUCAGAGGGGGGUAGAAUUCCACGUGUAGCAGUGAAAUGCGUAAAGAUGUGGAGGAAUACCGAUGGCGAAGGCAGCCCCCUGGGACGUGACUGACGCUCAUGCACGAAAGCGUGGGGAGCAAACAGGAUUAGAUACCCUGGUAGUCCACGCCCUAAACGAUGUCAACUAGUUGUUGGGGAUUCAUUUUCUCAGUAACGUAGCUAACGCGUGAAGUUGACCGCCUGGGGAGUACGGUCGCAAGAUUAAAACUCAAAUGAAUUGACGGAGG